GAGGAAGUUCAUGGUGGCUGCGUGUAUUGGCAUUGGUGUUGGCAAUAAAAAGUGUGUGCUGGGAUGCGUCGAGAAUCCUAAUCCAGUCUUCUUCACUCCAUGGAUGAAUCAAUUAGAAGGGACUGGGGAAAUUAGUGGCUAGGGCCUAUCUUUCGGCAAGAACUACUCGAGAAAGGCCUGGGUUUAGGAGUUCAAGCAGUUAUGUCACCGUCAGCUGAGACUUGAUGGAGAAGGGUAAUCGACACUGAAGGUGACCGAGACGAUAGAAAAGUUGUGGUUUAGGGUGCGUUGACAUUUUUCCUUGAAGGCCCAAGGAUCUACGUAAGAAGUGGUAGUGCACAAAGGAGAUGGAUGAAUAUGUGGGAUGCAUGUAGUACUACACAAAUUAAUUCGAAAUGUGUCACAAAGAGCAACAAGCAUUUGAGAAACAUGCAUAUUCUUUGGAAUGCAUCCAUGUCCUUUACCUUUGUUUACAUUAAUAAUAACACAAGCGACUUGCAGGGAGCCAUUUCUCCAUUUCUUAGCUUGGAUGACUGGUUUGUGUAAUUAACAUUUAGAUUAAUAGUUGUUGUUCAUGACUUGCACUCUAUAUCUUUAGUUUGACUUUGAUUCUUCA
This is a long non-coding RNA of Prosopis cineraria, 616 nucleotides long. RefSeq lists it as uncharacterized. The record is from RefSeq and is a predicted model, not a curated record. NCBI's taxonomy places the organism in Eukaryota, Viridiplantae, Streptophyta, Magnoliopsida, Fabales, Fabaceae. The transcript has 3 exons.